Molecule: long non-coding RNA, 961 nt
Filed under: Glycine max (soybean)
Lineage: Eukaryota; Viridiplantae; Streptophyta; Magnoliopsida; Fabales; Fabaceae
Description: long non-coding RNA (GMAX_LNC001483)
Source: RNAcentral
GUGAAAGCUCGCACUUUUACGGCGAAUUUUUUGUGGGCUUGUUGGAUUCUGAAAGAAGGGGCAAAAGGGUGUCUGAAGAUAGUGUUGAAUUGCAAUUUGGUUAAGUGGGGGUGUCAUUAUGGAGUGGGAAGACGAGUGCAGAACGCCGAGGUUGGUGCAGAAUCAGAUUCCAGCGGUUUUCAUCUGCCCGCCGCCGCCGCCGCGGAAGAAGCCGGUGGCCGGAAAGCGACGACCGCCGCCGAAGGAGGGGUACUUCCAGCCACCGGAUCUUGAUUCCUUGUUUUCAGUUCCAGCAAGAAAAGAAGCAUGCGUCUAACAAAGUAGCAACUUUUUAAAUUUUUGGGGGGAGUGUCUGAAUUUGGUUUUUGUUAUUUUUAAAAGGGAGUAUUUAAUUAACUAUUUUAUUAGUUUAUUGAUAUAAAGAAUAAUUAUAUCUAGUGUUGUUUUGUGGGCAUUCCUAUUUUGGUAUGUCGUAGAGGUGUUAGCUGAUGAUCUCUAUGAAAGAAAAUUGUUAUAUAGAAUGAUGAUUAUAUUUAUAUGCUUUGAGACUUGGAGUUGAUUUGUGCUCUUCUAGAAUUUGUAUGAUGUAUGCGUCCCUUUCUGUUCCUACGUUUUGAUUUUUGAAAUUUGCUUCGUGGGUUUUUUGGCUCCUAUCGGCUGGCUAGUCCUAACAAAAGCAUAGCUUCAUUGUCUGACAUUUGUUGUUAUUUACGAUUUGGUCUUCUAAAUUCUCCUUUUGCAUGUCGCCUGUUGUUGAAACUUCUAUUUUUCAUGUGCUCCCGCUGUAAGCUGUUGUAGCAUUUCAGAAUUUUUACUUUUUUCCCCCAUUAUUGACCUCAUCUAAAAUAAAUGAAAUAUACUAUACUAUUAUUAAAAUGCAACUUUUUCAGUAAUGGUACUUCCACAAGCAACGAUACUCACACAGUCACACCUCAUUGCUCUUAGACUGCAUUUCACUUUC